AAACUUCGCGGUUUUUCUGUCCCGUGACCGCAGCGAUCCUAACGUUUGGGGGCUGUACUACCUAAAUGAACGUUCUUGUUCUAUUUUAUAGUUAUUACUAGGUUACUCAUUAACUCCGGAGUUUUUACUACACAAGUGAACCUAAAGGUUGCAGUUCGAGAUUGCGAAAAUAAGAGCGCCACCCAAAGUGGAAAACGGGAACUGCGCAGUCGUCCUAUCUCUCACGGCGAAAAAGGGGCGUUUCUUUUCGCGCGCCCAUGUAUGCUACAACCUGCGGUGUCCCAAAGGCCGCUUUUACCGCUGUAAAGUUGGUUUUAGCGAAACCCAUGCAAGAUUCAGCCAAACAGACGCAUCCAUGGAUUCUCGCCGUCAUCACAAAUCGUGCUGCGCUGAGUGGUGUCGGAAUUCUUCACGACACACCGGCAUAAAAUUCUUUCGGAUCCCGGCGGACAAAAGAUCUCGCGCUUGGCUUCAGUAUGCGAGACGGCAGGACCUGGCUCAUUUACCACCUCGUCAGAUCUACAGCAGCUACCGCCUGUGCUCUGCCCAUUUCACCAGCAGAGGCUACGCAGACCCUGGACAGACAAGGCGGCUAAGAUGUGCUGUGCCAACAGUUUCCAUCUUUGGCGAUGAGCAGACACACGUCGAAAGUCCAGGCUCUCCUCGGCCCGCGAAUACCACUGCAAUGCCCACUCACAGCGCCGAUGAAGAAGUUCAACAGACUGAGCCCUCAUGUACGCAAAUUGUAUUGCUCUCUAAGCUCUUUAAAACUAUUCCAGAUAAAUUAAUGCCCUGCA
Long non-coding RNA from Rhipicephalus microplus (southern cattle tick), 797 nucleotides. RefSeq lists it as uncharacterized. NCBI's taxonomy places the organism in Eukaryota, Metazoa, Arthropoda, Arachnida, Ixodida, Ixodidae. The record is from RefSeq and is a predicted model, not a curated record.